AUGCUCUACCAGAUCCUCAAUCAAGCCAAGAAGCAUCUGAGCAUGAUUCUCCUCUGAGUUUAUUGGAGAUGGAGGUACUGGAGCAGCACUGUAUGUUUUAUAUCCAGCAUUGUUCAAUCCAGAUGUUACUUGGGACAGAAAGAAUGACCCAGAGCCCUGGAACAAACUGGGUCCCAAUGAUCAAUACAAGCUCUACUCAGGUAAUGUGGAUUACAGCAAACCGAAGAAAGAAGGU
RNAcentral lists this long non-coding RNA (235 nucleotides) under Homo sapiens (human). RNAcentral's name for it is "non-protein coding lnc-GRIA3-2:1". The record is from RNAcentral. Lineage: Eukaryota; Metazoa; Chordata; Mammalia; Primates; Hominidae.